UACAGAGGGGGCAAGCGUUAUUCGGAAUUAUUGGGCGUAAAGGGCGCGUAGGCGGCUUAUCAAGUCAGGCGUGAAAUUCCCGGGCUCAACCUGGGGGCUGCGCUUGAUACUGAUGAGCUUGAAUGCGGGAGAGGAUAGUGGAAUUCCCAGUGUAGAGGUGAAAUUCGUAGAUAUUGGGAAGAACACCGGUGGCGAAGGCGGCUAUCUGGCCCGUAAUUGACGCUGAGGCGCGAAAGCGUGGGGAGCAAACAGG
Molecule: ribosomal RNA, 253 nt
Filed under: uncultured bacterium
Lineage: Bacteria
Description: partial 16S ribosomal RNA
Rfam family: Bacterial small subunit ribosomal RNA
Source: RNAcentral